GACGAACGCUGGCGGCGUGCUUAACACAUGCAAGUCGAACGGAAAGGCCCUGCUUUUGUGGGGUGCUCGAGUGGCGAACGGGUGAGUAACACGUGAGUAACCUGCCCUUGACUUUGGGAUAACUUCAGGAAACUUGGGCUAAUACCGGAUAGGAGCUCCUGCUGCAUGGUGGGGGUUGGAAAGUUUCGGCGGUUGGGGAUGGACUCGCGGCUUAUCAGCUUGUUGGUGGGGUAGUGGCUUACCAAGGCUUUGACGGGUAGCCGGCCUGGGAGGGUGACCGGCCACAUUGGGACUGAGAUACGGCCCAGACUCCUACGGGAGGCAGCAGUGGGGAAUAUUGCACAAUGGGCGGAAGCCUGAUGCAGCAACGCCGCGUGCGGGAUGACGGCCUUCGGGUUGUAAACCGCUUUCGCCUGUGACGAAGCGUGAGUGACGGUAAUGGGUAAAGAAGCACCGGCUAACUACGUG
RNAcentral lists this ribosomal RNA (468 nucleotides) under uncultured bacterium. Its description in RNAcentral is "partial 16S ribosomal RNA". It matches the Rfam family "Bacterial small subunit ribosomal RNA", at positions 28 to 507 of the family's 1533-position model. The record is from RNAcentral.